Molecule: long non-coding RNA, 22744 nt
Filed under: Homo sapiens (human)
Lineage: Eukaryota; Metazoa; Chordata; Mammalia; Primates; Hominidae
Description: non-protein coding NEAT1:5
Rfam family: Nuclear enriched abundant transcript 1 conserved region 3 (bases 1164-1322)
Source: RNAcentral
CGGAGUUAGCGACAGGGAGGGAUGCGCGCCUGGGUGUAGUUGUGGGGGAGGAAGUGGCUAGCUCAGGGCUUCAGGGGACAGACAGGGAGAGAUGACUGAGUUAGAUGAGACGAGGGGGCGGGCUGGGGGUGCGAGAAGGAAGCUUGGCAAGGAGACUAGGUCUAGGGGGACCACAGUGGGGCAGGCUGCAUGGAAAAUAUCCGCAGGGUCCCCCAGGCAGAACAGCCACGCUCCAGGCCAGGCUGUCCCUACUGCCUGGUGGAGGGGGAACUUGACCUCUGGGAGGGCGCCGCUCUUGCAUAGCUGAGCGAGCCCGGGUGCGCUGGUCUGUGUGGAAGGAGGAAGGCAGGGAGAGGUAGAAGGGGUGGAGGAGUCAGGAGGAAUAGGCCGCAGCAGCCCUGGAAAUGAUCAGGAAGGCAGGCAGUGGGUGCAGGGCUGCAGGAGGGCCGGGAGGGCUAAUCUUCAACUUGUCCAUGCCAGCAGCCCCUUUUUUUCCAGACCAAGGGCUGUGAACCCGCCUGGGGAUGAGGCCUGGUCUUGUGGAACUGAACUUAGCUCGACGGGGCUGACCGCUCUGGCCCAGGGUGGUAUGUAAUUUUCGCUCGGCCUGGGACGGGGCCCAGGCCGGGCCCAGCCUGGUGGAGCGUCCAGGUCUGGGUGCGAAGCCAGGCCCCUGGGCGGAGGUGAGGGGUGGUCUGAGGAGUGAUGUGGAGUUAAGGCGCCAUCCUCACCGGUGACUGGUGCGGCACCUAGCAUGUUUGACAGGCGGGGACUGCGAGGCACGCUGCUCGGGUGUUGGGGACAACAUUGACCAACGCUUUAUUUUCCAGGUGGCAGUGCUCCUUUUGGACUUUUCUCUAGGUUUGGCGCUAAACUCUUCUUGUGAGCUCACUCCACCCCUUCUUCCUCCCUUUAACUUAUCCAUUCACUUAAAACAUUACCUGGUCAUCUGGUAAGCCCGGGACAGUAAGCCGAGUGGCUGUUGGAGUCGGUAUUGUUGGUAAUGGUGGAGGAAGAGAGGCCUUCCCGCUGAGGCUGGGGUGGGGCGGAUCGGUGUUGCUUGCCUGCAGAGAGGGUGGGGAGUGAAUGUGCACCCUUGGGUGGGCCUGCAGCCAUCCAGCUGAAAGUUACAAAAAUGCUUCAUGGACCGUGGUUUGUUACUAUAGUGUUCCUCAUGGCGAGCAGAUGGAACCGGGAGACAUGGAGUCCCUGGCCAGUGUGAGUCCUAGCAUUGCAGGAGGGGAGACCCUGGAGGAGAGAGCCCGCCUCAAUUGAUGCCUGCAGAUUGAAUUUCCAGAGGCUUAGGAGGAGGAAGUUCUCCAAUGUUCUGUUUCCAGGCCUUGCUCAGGAAGCCCUGUAUUCAGGAGGCUACCAUUUAAAGUUUGCAGAUGAGCUUAUGGGGGGCAAUCUUAAAAAGUCCACAGCAGAUGCAUCCGGCUCGAGGGGCCAUCAGCUUUGAAUAAAUGCUUGUUCCAGAGCCCAUGAAUGCCAGCAGGCACCCCUCCUUUCCUGGGGUAAAGGUUUUCAGAUGCUGCAUCUUCUAAAUUGAGCCUCCGGUCAUACUAGUUUUGUGCUUGGAACCUUGCUUCAAGAAGAUCCCUAAGCUGUAGAACAUUUUAACGUUGAUGCCACAACGCAGAUUGAUGCCUUGUAGAUGGAGCUUGCAGAUGGAGCCCCGUGACCUCUCACCUACCCACCUGUUUGCCUGCCUUCUUGUGCGUUUCUCGGAGAAGUUCUUAGCCUGAUGAAAUAACUUGGGGCGUUGAAGAGCUGUUUAAUUUUAAAUGCCUUAGACUGGGGAUAUAUUAGAGGAAGCAGAUUGUCAAAUUAAGGGUGUCAUUGUGUUGUGCUAAACGCUGGGAGGGUACAAGUUGGUCAUUCCUAAAUCUGUGUGUGAGAAAUGGCAGGUCUAGUUUGGGCAUUGUGAUUGCAUUGCAGAUUACUAGGAGAAGGGAAUGGUGGGUACACCGGUAGUGCUCUUUUGUUCUUGCUUCGUUUUUUUAAACUUGAACUUUACUUCGUUAGAUUUCAUAAUACUUUCUUGGCAUUCUAGUAAGAGGACCCUGAGGUGGGAGUUGUGGGGGACGGGGAGAAGGGGACAGCUUGGCACCGGUCCCGUGGGCGUUGCAGUGUGGGGGAUGGGGGUAUGCAGCUUGGCACUGGUACUGGGAGGGAUGAGGGUGAAGAAGGGGAGAGGGUUGGUUAGAGAUACAGUGUGGGUGGUGGGGGUGGUAGGAAAUGCAGGUUGAAGGGAAUUCUCUGGGGCUUUGGGGAAUUUAGUGCGUGGGUGAGCCAAGAAAAUACUAAUUAAUAAUAGUAAGUUGUUAGUGUUGGUUAAGUUGUUGCUUGGAAGUGAGAAGUUGCUUAGAAACUUUCCAAAGUGCUUAGAACUUUAAGUGCAAACAGACAAACUAACAAACAAAAAUUGUUUUGCUUUGCUACAAGGUGGGGAAGACUGAAGAAGUGUUAACUGAAAACAGGUGACACAGAGUCACCAGUUUUCCGAGAACCAAAGGGAGGGGUGUGUGAUGCCAUCUCACAGGCAGGGGAAAUGUCUUUACCAGCUUCCUCCUGGUGGCCAAGACAGCCUGUUUCAGAGGGUUGUUUUGUUUGGGGUGUGGGUGUUAUCAAGUGAAUUAGUCACUUGAAAGAUGGGCGUCAGACUUGCAUACGCAGCAGAUCAGCAUCCUUCGCUGCCCCUUAGCAACUUAGGUGGUUGAUUUGAAACUGUGAAGGUGUGAUUUUUUCAGGAGCUGGAAGUCUUAGAAAAGCCUUGUAAAUGCCUAUAUUGUGGGCUUUUAACGUAUUUAAGGGACCACUUAAGACGAGAUUAGAUGGGCUCUUCUGGAUUUGUUCCUCAUUUGUCACAGGUGUCUUGUGAUUGAAAAUCAUGAGCGAAGUGAAAUUGCAUUGAAUUUCAAGGGAAUUUAGUAUGUAAAUCGUGCCUUAGAAACACAUCUGUUGUCUUUUCUGUGUUUGGUCGAUAUUAAUAAUGGCAAAAUUUUUGCCUAUCUAGUAUCUUCAAAUUGUAGUCUUUGUAACAACCAAAUAACCUUUUGUGGUCACUGUAAAAUUAAUAUUUGGUAGACAGAAUCCAUGUACCUUUGCUAAGGUUAGAAUGAAUAAUUUAUUGUAUUUUUAAUUUGAAUGUUUGUGCUUUUUAAAUGAGCCAAGACUAGAGGGGAAACUAUCACCUAAAAUCAGUUUGGAAAACAAGACCUAAAAAGGGAAGGGGAUGGGGAUUGUGGGGAGAGAGUGGGCGAGGUGCCUUUACUACAUGUGUGAUCUGAAAACCCUGCUUGGUUCUGAGCUGCGUCUAUUGAAUUGGUAAAGUAAUACCAAUGGCUUUUUAUCAUUUCCUUCUUCCCUUUAAGUUUCACUUGAAAUUUUAAAAAUCAUGGUUAUUUUUAUCGUUGGGAUCUUUCUGUCUUCUGGGUUCCAUUUUUUAAAUGUUUAAAAAUAUGUUGACAUGGUAGUUCAGUUCUUAACCAAUGACUUGGGGAUGAUGCAAACAAUUACUGUCGUUGGGAUUUAGAGUGUAUUAGUCACGCAUGUAUGGGGAAGUAGUCUCGGGUAUGCUGUUGUGAAAUUGAAACUGUAAAAGUAGAUGGUUGAAAGUACUGGUAUGUUGCUCUGUAUGGUAAGAACUAAUUCUGUUACGUCAUGUACAUAAUUACUAAUCACUUUUCUUCCCCUUUACAGCACAAAUAAAGUUUGAGUUCUAAACUCAUUAGAAUUGUUGUAUUGCUAUGUUACAUUUCUCGACCCCUAUCACAUUGCCUUCAUAACGACUUUGGAUGUAUCUUCAUAUUGUAGAUUUAGGUCUAGAUUUGCUAGCUCCAAGUAAUUAAGGCCAUGUAGGAGAGCAUGGUAACCACAGAUAGAACUGGUAUUAUCCCAAGUGGUCUGCAGACUGCUGAGUGGGGAUGGGAUCUGCUCUCUGUUGAGAGUUGGUAAUCAUUGGUUUGAAAUGUGAUGAAACCACUCAAGCCAAUGAAGGUGGGUGUGUAGGUGGGGAGUACUUUGCCAUAAUAUUUUAAAACAUUACCUGGUUAGAGUUCUAAGUGGUACUUAUUUUUGUUUGGUUAGGGGAAAGCCUGAAUAAAAACAGAAAUGGACACAUAAUAUGCAUAUUCCAUAGUCUUUGGGAGGCUGGAAUGUGCCUGGGAUUUGGGUCUAAGUGUAUGCGUAAUUCUUACCUCACUAAAGAAUUUGCCUUGUUUUUUUCCUUUUGGUGAGUGACUAAAACGUCUGGGCUUCCCUGUGUGCGUGCUACAGUAAGCAAGCAGAGGCUGUGCAAAGGUGUGAGCAGGAUCACGUGGAAUCUGGAGGAUACAUCUUGGCUUGCAAACUGCCUCUGUCUCCUGGGUGGGACUGUUCUGUCCUUGCACUGCUGUUCUGUGUUACCUCUUGGGGUGUAAGGUUUUGCUUACAGGAGACAAACUUUGGGCGUAGAAUGGAAGCCACUGCCAGCCUCUGUGCUGAGAAGGAAGGUGCUUGUUUCAAAGGGAGCAGCAAGGGAGGCUUGUUCUACUCACCUGGGCCUGUUUGCCUGAGAAGGGGAGAUAAGGGCUGAACUGGGACUAGCCAGGGGGACCAACACAAAUGGUGGGGGAUCAUGACCUGAAGGAUUCUUUCCUUCCCAUGAGCUGCAGGGCUGGUUGCCGUCCUUGCAACUGUGUCUUAUUUGCCUGUGCCGUUAUAUCUUGGUGACCCCUCCACGUGUACACUACUGACAAACGGGUGGAGUGCUGGGGAGAAGUCACUGUGCCGCCCACCUAGUAAACCUUCUGUCUGUGCUCAUGGCAUCUCCAAGAUGGGGCACUGCUGUGUGCAGAAUCCAGGGUCCUCUUUCUGCUUGCAACUCCUUUCCCUGGAUGCCCCAGAAACAAUCCAGGCCUCCUUUCCUAUCUUACCCCUUUGCUUUGCUUUUUACCCCAGCACCUCUAUAACCGCCUUCUCUUCUUUUCAGAACUCCUUGUUUCUCGUCCUGUUUUUUAUGAUUACAAAACUCUUGCUUCCACCCUGGAAGAUAACUGCUAUAGAUGCCUGUAUGUAAAUGGUGCUGUCUCCAGCAACUGGCAUGCUGAAGAAGAAUUGAUUCACGGGGUAUAAAUGUUGGGGAUUGGAAGUGGGGAUGAAAUGGCACUUGUUGAUACAGGAGCAGAGAGGUGAGGCCGACUGCUGAAGACAGCUCGCCACCCUCCUUGCCUCCACUCCAAUCCAGGGGCUGGGGCCACAUUCUUUGCCUUCAUUUAUCCUCAGAUCAGGUGAGAUCGACAGGAGGUGUUGAUGGCAGUGCCAGCAAUUAUUGCUAAUCCGUUUGCAUCCUUAUGCAUAGAUCUGAAUUCAGACUUUGUGAAUUUCCAGAGGUGUGGGUAAUAUAAUAGAAUUCAGUGAGUGGGCAUGGCUGAUCUUGUGCAAAUUAAAAGUUAUGGGGCAUAAGAAUAGCAAAAGUUGAACUUCUUUUAAAAAGGAAAGUACCCUGAGAGCCAGUAUUGGUUGAGGCUCUUCAGUAUGCCCAGGUUGGCAGCACUGAGAACCGCAGGAACGGCCUGUUGUUACAAAAAGGAGAUUGACUCAGCUGCCCUUGGUGCAUCUGACUGACUAUGACUGCUGAGAGAUUCCAAGGACCCUUAAUGCCAGGGCUAACCUCUCCAUGUGCAGUGAGACCUCUGGAGGAAGUGUCAUCCUCUGGCUUUGUGUGGUACUCAUUAUGGUGCAGUGCGGGCAUGAAAUGAAGACACCCAAAUAGGCUUACAGAUACGAUAUGUUUUAAAUGUUCGUAUUUAACAAAAACAUACUGACACUGUUUGGAAAUGGCAACAGGAAGAUAGCAAAAUGAAUACUAACAUUACGAAAAGAUGAACAGGUACAUGUUCCAAGGCAGGUGGCUGUGAACUUCCUCUGAGUGAAGGCAUCCCCUCCAGCACCUUUCAGCCUGCUAGUUAGGACGACCCGCCGCCACCCUCCAGGACCUCCAGCCCUGCACUGCCUUUCCUCUCUUUUAAAUAAUUCUUCAUUGAGUUCUAAUAUGUAAAAAAAAAAAGUUUACUGUAAAGUUUGCAAAUAAGGAAAUUUUUUUUAAAAGUCCUCAGUAAUCUUACCAGUAACAAUUGUUAUGGGCACAUUUGCUUUUGGAAGAUUUCUUUUGUAUGCAUGGGAUAAGUACAUUUUUAAACAAAAAUGGGAUUAUGCCAUAAAUUCUAUUUUGUGACUUUAAUAUAUAGUGAACACCUUUUUUAAUGAUGACAGGAUGUUCCCUUGCAUGGCUGUAUCAAUUUAAACAAUCUUGUUUCAAUGGGCAUACAGGGUAUUUUCUAGUUUUUUUUUCCUCUUAGAAAAUAAUACUUGCGAUGACUUUCCUUGUAGCUCAGACUUUUUCACGUCUGUUGUUAUCUCUUUGGGAAUGCUGAAUACAUACAUUUCGAGAAGGAAAUGACUGUUAAACUCUUAAGACUUCAGGUUCAUAUUGCUAAACUGCCCAGCAGGGAGGGAUUUUUUCAAUUAGUGUUCUCACUGGUGAGGCAAACCUGAUGCCUUCCCCUCUUCCUCAGAACCGGCUUUAUCACAUUGAAAACCUUUGCUCCUCCGACGGAUCGAGUCUGCUUUCCCUCUGGAUGUGAGCAUUGCUUUGUCUGCUGGUGACUGAACAUCUCUACCUUGUGUCAAUUGGCCAUUUGUGGUGUGUGUGUGUGUGCGUGUGUGUGUGUGUGUGUGUGUAUGAUUUUCUAAUUCCUAGUCAUUUUUCUAUUGAUUGUUUUGCAAAAGCCAUUUACAUCUUAAGGAUAUUGAUAAUCUUUUGUUAUAUUUGAUGCAAAUAUUUUUUUCCAGUUUAUAGGUUGCCUUUUAAUUUUGUGUUUCAGGUAGAUAAAAGUUAAACGAUUUUCUUAGGUUAGUUUAUCACUGUGGUUUCUGAACUUGUUAUGUGUAGAUCUUUUCCACCCCAAGAGUACAUAAAUAUUAAUCCAUACUUUCUUAUGGAACUUGUAUGGUUUCGUUUUUUACAUUUAAACCUUCUUCCCCGUGGUGUGUGUUGUGGAAUCUGUGUUUGUGUGAGGAGGGGCAUGGUGCUCUCAGAACCCACCUCCUGUGGCCAGAGAGCCCUGUCCUGUGAGGGUGGUUGUCACAGUGGCAGGGUUCAAUUCAGAAGACCUUGAGGGCAGGCUGAUGUUUCCUGAAUGGGCCCCUGGUUGUUGCUUGUCCCUGACUCUCCAUUUCCCCAUCUGAGUGGAUUUGGACCUAAUAGGGCACUGGAGCUGGUUCGAAUCCUGACUGGACUACUUGGCAACUUUAUGUCUGGGAGCAAGUUACUUAACCUCCCCAAGCCUGUGUCUGUGAAAUGCGGGUAAAUGAAUGUAGAUGUUUGGCAGCAGCUACUCCUUGUUGAGCUCUCACAGUGAACUCUCCUGCCUCUGCCCUCCUUCCCCGCCUCCCCUGGUGCCUAGCGUCAGGUCUAGCCACUUCCUCCUGGGCCCCUCUCCCUUUUCUGUGGCUGGCUGCCUGCCCGCCUGGCGCUGGACCUUUCAUGUAACGGGAAUCAGCAUGUAUAUUCUGGUCUGGUCUGUUUCUACACUUAAUUUUGUUUCCAGUAGUAUUUCCCUGUACCGGCAGAGUUCACAAACACAUUUGAAGAGGCUUUUUCUCAGGAUUCUUAACCUUCCCAAAGGAAGUCCCAUGGAUGGGUUUCUAGAAGUCUAUAAAUGCUCUGAAAUUGUAUUUUUCUGUGGAAAGCAUAACUUUCAUCUGCUUGUUCGUGCUCAAAAAAGAUCAUGAAUGAAUGAUUGCAUGAUUUUAUGCCAUUGUGCUUAUACUAAAGGAUAUGUAGCCCAUCUCUUGAGCUGUUAAACUGUUUUGACUACUUUAAAUCGUGCAGCUGUGAGCAUCUCUGUAAAUUUAGUGUACACAUGUAUCCCCUGGAGUGGCAUUGCCUCGGCAGUGAGCACUUAUGGUUUUAUAACUCUCUUCACAGACUCAAAUGACUCCAGAAAGCUACACUUCCUGUUGUGAGUAUAUGAUAUCCAUUUCCCUACAUAGCCACUAACAUCAGGUUUUUACAAUUUUAUUUAUUUCUUGCUACUUUAAGAAAUUUUUGUGGUGAAAUACAUAUAAUAGAAGUUGACUAUCUGAAUCAUUUUUAAGUAUACAUUCAGUAGUGUUAAGUAUGUCGCCAUUGUUGUACAACCAAUCUCCAGAACUUUUUCAUCUUGCAAAACAAACUCUGUACCCAUUAAAUAACAUUAAACAUUCCAUUCCCUCCAGCCUCAGCAACCCCAUUCUACUUUCUGUUUCUGUGAGUUUGACUAUUCCAAGCACUUCAUAUCAGUUAAAUCAUGAAGUAUUUGUCUGUCUGUGACUGGCUUAUUUCUCUGAGCACAGUGUCCUCGAGAUGCGUCUAUGUUGUAGCAUAUGUCAGAAUUUCCUUCCUUUUUAAAAGAUCCAAAUAAUAUUCUUAUUUUAUAUCUUUUUUUUAUCCAUUCAUCCAUUAGUGGACACUUGGGUUGCUUUUGGCUAUUGUAAAUAAUGGUGCUAUGUACAAAUAUCUAUAUUAUUGUAUUUACAAGUAUAAUGCUGUAAUGUACACACAUCUUUUUGAGAUCCUACCUUCAGUUCUUUUGAGUAUAUAGCCAGAAGUGGUAUUACUAAAUCUUACGAUAUUUCUAUUUUUAAUUUAUUGAGGAACCACUGUAGUUUUUCAUAGCAACUGCACCAUUUUACGUUCUCACCAAGAGUGCACAAGGGUUCCGAGGUUCCCACAUCCUCCCCAACACUUGUUAUUUUCUGCUUUUUUUAGAUUGCAGCCAUCAUAGUGGGUGUGAGGUGACAUUUCAUUGUGGUUUUGAUUUGCAUUUCCCUAAUGAGGAGUGAUGCUGAGCAUCUUUUCAUAUGCUUACUGGUCAUUUGUAUGUUGUCUUUGGAAAAAUGUCUAUUCAAGUCCUUUGACUAUUUUAAAAAUUGGGUUAUUAGAGUUAUCGUUGUUGUUGACUUGUAGGAGUUUCUUUCUAUAUUCUGGAUAUUAAUCCCCUAUCAGAUAUAUGAUUUGCAAAUAUCUUCUCUUAUUCCAUAAGGUUACUUUUUCACUUUGUUGAUUGUGUUCUUUGAUGUAUAGAAGUUUUUAGUUUUGAAAUAGUCUAAUUUAUCUGUUUUUACUUUUGUGGUCUGUGCUUUUGGUGUCAUAUCCAAGAAAUCCUUGCCAAAUCCAACGUUAUAAGGUACUUUUAAGGUAUUUUAGUUGUCUUAGUCUAUAUUUCUGUACUCACCUUUCUUUAUCCACUCAUCAGUUGAUGGGCAUGUAGGUUGGUUCCAUAUCUUUGCAAUUCUGAAUUGUGCUAUGAUCAGGUGUCUUUUUAGUAUAAUGAUUUACUCUCCUUUGGGUAGAUACCCAGUAGUGGGAUUGCUGGAUCGAAUGGUUUUUAUAAUUUUCUAUUUUACCACAGUUUCUCUCUGCAUUUUUCCUCUUUGACCACUAACCAUGUGAAAUUCUCAUAUUGACCUUUAUAAUGAUCAUGAACUCUUAGUAUCAUUGGGAAGGCCACAUUUGCCACUUAUGAUUGUAAACCUUAUCCUCCAUUUUUCCUGUUAUUGUUGGUGCAAAAAGCACCUAUUAUACCAGGACUUUAAAAAUCAGUCUGAUAAGUCUUUGAUAAGUCUAAUAAUAAUAACUGAUAAGUCCAUUGAAUUUGCUUCUGAUUACUUUUUCUUUAGUAGCUAAACAUGUAUGUACUCCUAUGAUUACAAUGAACACUCCUCUCCAUUUAAAUUAAUUAUUUACAUUGAUGAAAUAGCAAAAUGUUAAUGACUAAAUACUGUCUUGGUUUUUUCGUUCCAGGUCAGUCAAUAUUAACUUCUUAUAAUUUUCUUUUUUUUCUUUAUGUGUGUGUGUGUGUGUAUUUUUUUUUUUUUAAUUUCAAUGGCUUUUGGGGUACAAAUGGCUUUUGGUCAUAUAGAUGAAUUCUACAGUAGUGAAGUCUGAGAUUUUACUGCACCGGUCACCUGAGUAGUGUACAUUGUACCCAAUAUGUGGUUUUUUAUACCUUGCCCCCCUCUUACCCUCCCCACUUUGAGUCUCUAGUGUCCAUUAUGUCACUCUGUAUACCUUUUUGUACCCAUAAGUUAGCUCUCACUUAUAAGUGAGAACACACAGUAUUUGGUUUUCCAUUCCUGAGUUGCUUCACUUAGAAUAAUAUCCUCCAGCUCCAUCCAAAAUUGCUGCAAAAAAAAAAAAAACCACAAACAUUAUUUUGUUCUUUUUUAUUGCUAAGUCAUAUUCCAUGGUGUAGAGAUACCACAUUUUAUUUAUCCACUCACUGGUUGAUGGGUUGGUUCCACAUCUUUGCAAUUGUGACUUGUACUGCCAUCAAGUGUCUUUCUGGUAUAAUGACUUCUUUUCCUUUGGGUAGAUACCCAGGAGUGGGAUUGCUAGAUCAAAUGGUUCUUAACAUUUUCUCUCUGGAUCUAUUUCUGGAAAUUUUAGGCUCCAGUUUUUGUUGUUGUUGUUAAUAAAAUGCAAUGGAAUGUAAUGAUCAUCACUUUUCAUUAUGCUUUAAAAUCUGGUAAAUGGAGGCUAGAACACUCCUGUAAGGCAAGAAUAUUCUCUCUGUUGGAACUCAAAUACACAGAACUGGGUAAAUCUCAAUCUUAAUCUUUGAUUCAGGACACAACAUGGCUCUCUUUUACUUGCUUUCUUUAAUUGUUUUUUAAUAAUGUGGUAAGCAUUUCUGAAUCUCCUAUCCAAUACAAAAACUAGGACAAUACAGACAGUAACUCCUAUGGUUACAAUGAACACUCCUCUCCACUUAAAUUAAUUAUUUACACUGAUGAAAUUGAAAUAGCAAAAUUUUAAUGACUAAAUACUGUCUUUGAUUUUUUGUUCCAGGUCUGUCAAUAUUAACUUCUUAUAAUUUUCUUUUUUUUUCUUUAUGUGUGUGUGUGUGUGUGUAUAUAUAUAUAUUUAAUUUCAAUGGCUUUUGGGGUACAAAUGGCUUUUGGUCAUAUAUAUGAGUUCUACAGUAGUGAAGUCUGAGAUUUUACUACACCUUCCACUUAUGUGGUCCCACACCACCCGCCUCCCCUGCCGCCUCCUGCCACCCCCUAGGCCAAGGUAAUAAUCAUCCUGAAUCCUGGGUUUAUCUCUCACUUGCUUUCUUUUCAUAUAAUUUUGCAAAAGAAUCUGAUCUAAAUGUGUUUUUCAGAGUAUAUAUUUAUAUUUUAGCUGUUCUUAGAGAAAAUUUAUUAUUUUGCAUGUAAUCUUAUGGAACAUUCUCAUUUAAUACCAUGGUAAGAUUCAGCCCUUGCCCAGGGGAUAGUUCAUUUAGUUUGUUUACUGGAUAGAGCUCAUCAUGUGACUAUACCUCAGUUAGUUUAUCAGUUCUCCCAUCCAUGGUGACUAGGUUGCCUCUCAGCCUCUCAACAACACUGUUUCUCAGUGUCCUUGUAGAAGUGAUAUGUGGGUGUUUUCUCCUUACACAGAGUUGAAAGGUGACGACAACAACGUUGGCACUACCAAUCCCCCACCCUCCAGAGGGGUAACCAGUGUUACCAGUUUGCUGUGUUUCCUGCUACACCUCGCCUUAUUCACUUCCAUUUGUAUCUGAAAAACGUGUUGCAUGGUUUCUUUUCUAUAGAAGUGGUAAAAUGCUAUUGUGUCCUGUACAUUAUUGAUUACUUUUUUUCAUUUAACAGUAGGGAGAUGCCUGGGAGUACACAGAGAACUGCCCUCAUUGUUUUCAACUUCUGCACUGUAUGUCUGUGAGUUUAGCCAUUCUGCUGUUAAUGGAAAUUUACAGUAUUCUAAUCUUUUGAUAUUACAAACAGUUCUGUGCGAUCAUCGUCAUACACAACCCCUUGUGCACAAUGCAUGAGUGUUUCUCAGGGUAGGUACCAAGAAGUGAAAUUCCUGGGUCAUAGGGCGUGAGUCCGACAUUUUUCUCCAUUCUGCCCUGUUGCCCUCCAGAGUGGGUGUCCAGCUUUGCAUACCUAAGUAUGAGAGUAUCUGUUGUUCAUAUCCUCUACGACGCUCCAUAUAUGAAACUUAAGUUUCUGCUAGUUGCCAUCUUUGAUCUAUCAUGUAUGCAGUGACCUACUAAGACUGUAAUUGGUACAGUAGAUUCUUGUCAUCUGUGUGUGAAUUUAGCAUUCAUGGGCUUAAUGCUGACAAGGCCCCCAGGGUCCAAGACAUAUAAUCAUGUAUAAUUUUGUCAAGGUAUAAUUUUUUAAAUUGCUUUUGUCAUGUGUCUGCUGGUGAUGCCCAACCCAGUGCUCUGCACCCAGGUCACACUGUGGCUUUGUCCUCUGCUUAUGCCUGCAUUGCAGCAACUGUCCUGAAGAGACCAAAAUUAUGCAGAUUUAGGUAAGUCCAUGGCUAAUGUUAUUAUAUUAUGUGCUAUUGUAAUGGAUGGGGCUGUGGAGUGUAUGAAUUUAUAAAUCACUGGUCUUGUAAUUAAAAUUCAAACACUAUAGAAAAAGGCCAUGUAGAAGAUAAAAGUUCCUCUAUAAUCCCGGACCCCUAAGAUAACUACUAAUGACAACUUCAUUUAUAUUCCUUCAGACAUUUUCUGGCUGUGGAUGUACUAAAAUGUAUCCUAUUAUUCUCUGCCCUAAAAUGGAAUCAUACAAGGUGUACUGUUAUUUUUAUGGCUCUAUAACAUGUCAUAUUGUACGUGUUGGUAUGGUCAUUUUAACCAUUUUUCUAGUGAUGGCUUUGAGGUUAUUUGCAGUUUCCUAGCCAUCUCAAAGUGUGCUGCGGGGAUCUCUUUUGCAUCCCUCUGGGUGCAGAGCUGAGGCACCCAGAGGCAGUGUCCAGAGGAGGCAGCAUCUGUAGGUGUCUUCACCUGCUCUGGCUCUUGGCACAUCUGGUUGGUGACACUGUUUUGUGAGAUGGGUUGAAAGCACGUGCUGCCAAAAUAGAAUAAUGUUGGUCCUCUCCUCAUGUGCCGUGGAACUGGGGUAAAACUGCGUAGUGGCUGCAGCUGCCUGUCCAUACCGGAAUCGAGUAUAACACGGUGCCUGGCUUAGCACAAAACAGUAGUGGGUCCUGCAGGCCCCAGAGUCUAAUUCCUGGUAUUCUUUCCCCUACACAGAUUAAAUAAACCAAAAACAAACUAUUCUAGGAAAGCGUCUGUGACAUUUGUAAAAAGUGGUAUUUAAUGAUCUUUUAUUCACUUGUCUGUUUAGUUUGUUGAAAUCUUAAGUGGCAUCCUGGUCUGGGAAGGAGUGCUGUCUGCGCCUGCCCUCCGCUGGGCACAGCGUGGCUGCUUCAGGGGCUAAGCACACACUUUCUGUCUUCUAAAGGGCCGCCACAUGCCAGGAGCUCAGGUGUGAGCCCGGCUCUGGCUCUUACCUCAUAGGGUCACUCAUAGGGGCACAGGGAGCAGAACAUUGUACACAGCGAGGCACCACCCGGCUUGGCAUCUGCCUCGGUGGACUUACUACCUCUAGAAGGAAAUACCUGAGUUCCUCUGGCCUCAGCUCCUAGAGUGACUGGUGUGCUGUCCCUGUUACUCUUCUGUCAAGGUGACAACUGUGUGACCCAUCAUCUGUGUGUCAAAGCAAGGCCCUGCCUGGGCCUCUGCUCCUGUGCUGACCCCAAAGGCAAAUGCUUUGCUAGUUUCCUUCCAGUUAAUUUCACCUAUGAAUAGAUGUGUGAAAACUGUUCAAAGCCAUACCUGCACAUGUUUGAACUUCAAACCCUGUGGGUGAUUCAGUGGCAUCUUUCUCUAACCCCCAGCCUCCCUUCCCACAGAGGCCACCGUCAUGGCCAGUUGCUGCAGUUUCUUUCCAGAGAACCUGUGUAUGUGUAAAGCUGUACAGGCGUGGGUACACCACACAGCCUGUCUUGCACUGUGGACUGUUGAGUUACUAGUACAUCUAGGUAAGCACCGCAUAUCUGUAUUCAUGUCUGCCUUGGUCUUUUCAACAUCUGUGUGGUAGCCGUGUUUGAAUUACCCAUUCCCUUUUUGGGGAACCAUUAAGUUGUUUCAGCAAUUUUUACUGUAGAUAAGGCUAUACCGCAUAUCUGUGUACAUGGGUUUUUAUGUACAUGGGCAAGUAUAUCUGUGAGAGAAAAGUUUCCUCAGGAGGAAUUCUGGGCACAGCAUGUGUAAAUUUCUAAAUAUGAUGGACACCCCCAGCUUCCACCUCAAGGAGGUUGGUCCCAUUGACAUUUCCCCACACCUUCACCCAGGCUGUGCCCUUAAACUUGGUUAUUUGUCAAUGUGAGAAGUGGAAAAUAGUAUUUAAUUGUAGUUUGGAUUUGUAUUUCUAUUGGGUUGUAUACUUACUGAUUAAUAAUAAGAGCUCUUUACAUAUUAAGGAAAUUAACCCUUUUCAAAUACAUUCCUAUUUCUCACUAAUCUUUAAGUUUUAUUGUAAUAUUUUGCUCUUUAGUUUAUAUAUAUAUGUAUAUAUAUAUAUAUGUAUAUAUAUAUAUAUACAUAUAUAUAUACAUAUAUAUAUACUAAUUUUCUUUUAUGGUUCCUGGAUUUUGUGAGUAGUUUGAAAAGGCUAAUCCAGCUGAAGAUUUUGUUGUUGUUGUUAAACCCCAUGUUUUCUCCUAACUCUUUUUAUUUUUAUUUUGGAGGACUCUAUCUAGACUUAAUUUUAGCAUAACAAGUGACAGGGUUAGUUAGCCUGUUGUCCUUACACCAUUUUCUGGCUAAUACAGCUAUUAACUAUUGAUCUGUCUAUUCACGUGCCAGUUCCUAAUGGUUUUACAUAGUGUAAUCUGCACUUCAAAAUAGCGAAGGGAAGCCCUACCUCAUUAUUCUACUUUUCCAGAAUUCUCCUGGCUAUUCCAGGCUGCAUGUUUACCUUAACCUUCCCUGUGAUGUCUUCAUGCCGUUGUCUUCUUAUGCAAGAAUAAGGUACGUCUUUCCAUCCACUCACGUCUAUUUAAUUUGACUUUGCAUUACACAGAAAGCUGGUCUUGGUCUGUCUACCUCGGCAUCUAGUUGUCCUCACUGCCCCCUAGCCGACCCCACCCCAUCUGACUGACUACCCCAUCACAGAGUACUUUUAUUUACGUUUUGCUCUGCCUAAUGGUUACUUGAUACUGUCACGCCGACAGUGUCCAGUUCAGUGGUCUUUGCAGUUGAAAUGCUCCCGUACACACUGUCUUGUUAAAAAUGCCAGUAAGUUCAUACAAACCCAGCUUGCACCCAAGGUCACAUUCAGAGAGCGUAGGGCUGGGAUGGGUUGUUUUCCAAGCUUCUGCCACUGUGUGGCUAGCUCUUCCCACUGGGAAGUUCUGUGUACCCGGAAUGUCGGAGUGGAGUCCUGUUCUAGUGUCCAGCACCUGACCCUGUGCCCAACCCCUCAACAGCCUAUUCCUGCUGUCCACAGCCUGCUGGAACUUUUUACAAAAUAUGUUGCCAUGCUGGACCCUGGGCACUGGACAUAAGCCCCCUGGCAGCCUUUUUCAUGUCACCCAAAGGGGUAAUUGUCCUACUGGUGGUCUGUAAGAUGAGUUAGGGUGACUUGCUAAUAGACAUUGUAAAUCUUAAUAUUUAUGUAUGUAUUUUAUUAUUACCGGUUUUCCAUUUAUGAUGGUAAUAUUGUUUCUUCUAAGAAUAUUUAUUUUUCCUUCUAAAUAUUGAGAUAAAAUUCAUGCUUUUGAAAUGUUCUAUUCAGUGGCUUUUAGUAUAUUUGCUAUGUUGUGCAACCAUCGACACUAUCCAUUUCUAGAACUUUUUCGUCAUCCCAAACAGACGCUCUGUAUUCAUAAAAAAAUAACUUCCUACCUGUCUCUCCCCCUAGUCUUUGGUAACCUUUGUUAUACUGGUAAACUUUGUUGUGCUCUCUGUCUGUGUGAAUUUGCCUAUUCUAGGGGCCUCAUAUAAGUGUAAUCAUACAGUAUUUGUCUUUUUGGGUCUGUCUGAUUUCACUUAGCGGGUUUUCAGGGUUCAUUCAUGUUGCAGCAUAUAACAGUACUGCGUUCCUUUUUCUGGCUGAAUAAUAUUCCACUGUAUGGAUAGACCCCAUUUUGUUUAUUCACACAUCAUUUGGACAUUUGGAUUAUUUCUGGUUUUUGGCUAUUAUGAACAAUGGUGCUAUGAACAGUUGCGUACAAGUUUUUGUGUGAACAUAUGUUUUCAAUUCUCUCAUUAUAUACCUAGGAGUAGAAUUACUGGGUCAUAUGGUAACUGUAUAUUUUUGAGGAACUGCCAAACUAUUUUCCCACGUCCAUGCACCAUUUCACAUUCCCACCAGUAAGUAAGAGGGUUCCAAUUUCUGCGCAUUCUUGCCAACACUAGUUAUUAUCUGACUUUCUGGUUAUAAUCAUUCUAAUGAGUGUGAAGUAGCCUCUGGUGUCAUUUGGAUUUGCAUUUCUCUGAUGAGUGAUGCUAUCAAGCACCUUUGCUGGUGCUGUUGGCCAUAUGUGUAUGUUCCCUGGAGAAGUGUCUGUGCUGAGCCUUGGCCCACUUUUUAAUUAGGCGUUUGUCUUUUUAUUACUGAGUUGUAAGAGUUCUUUAUAUAUUCUGGAUUCUAGACCCUUAUCAGAUACAUGGUUUGCAAAUAUUUUCUCCCAUUCUGUGGGUUGUGUUUUCACUUUAUCGAUAAUGUCCUUAGACAUAUAAUAAAUUUGUAUUUUAAAAGUGACUUGAUUUGGCUGUGCAAGGUGGCUCACGCUUGUAAUCCCAGCACUUUGGGAGACUGAGGUGGGUGGAUCAUAUGAGGAGGCUAGGAGUUCGAGGUCAGCCUGGCCAGCAUAGCGAAAACUUGUCUCUACUAAAAAUACAAAAAUUAGUCAGGCAUGGUGGUGCACGUCUGUAAUACCAGCUUCUCAGGAGGCUGAGGCACGAGGAUCACUUGAACCCAGGAGGAGGAGGUUGCAGUGAGCUGAGAUCAUGCCAGGGCAACAGAAUGAGACUUUGUUUAAAAAAAAAAAAAAGUGACUUGAUUUAAGGGAAAAAAUGACUGGCUAUAUUCAGUCAGAUAUGGCAAAAAGUCUCAAGGUGUUAAUGUGAAUGAUUAAGGUCUUGGGGGGGGUGUCCCCUAUCAGACUACAGGUGUUUAGAGGCACAGAAAAAGGUGCAGUUGGGUUCUUAAUGUGAAAUGAUGAGAAGCACAACUCCAGUGUGUCUCUUUGUGUAGAAUGUCAGCAGACACCCCCUGCUAGAUGUGCUGGAUCAUGGGAAAGCAUUUCCAUUUGUUACUAGAUUGUUCAGAAGUUUUAAUUUAUGAUGGGUGUGGUGGCUCAUGCCUGUAGUCCCAGCACUGUGGGAGGCUGAGGCAGGAGGAUCAUCUGAGGCCAAGAGUUCAAGAUCAGCCUGGGCAACAUAGUGAUACCCUAUCUCUUAAAAAAGAAGAAGUUUUUAAAUUUGAAAUAAUAAUAGGUACUGGAUUUAUGCAAAUGUCUUUUCUGCGUCUUUUGAGAUGAGUAUCAGGUUUUUUUUUUUCCUUUUAUCAUCUGAUGAUGAACUUAAUGUUUCCAUUUGUAUUAAUGGAAUACUAAGUCCCUCUGUGAUUUCUGAACCAAGCUAUUCCUAGGCCUGAGUUUUAUUUUGUUGACACAGAAAUAAAUUAGAAGGCCAAGCGUGGUGGCAUGUGCCUGUAGUCCUAGUUGCUGAGGUAAGAGGAUUGCUUGAGCCCAGGAGUUCAAGGCUGCAGCAAGCUUUGAUUGCGCCACUGCACUCCAGCCUUGGCGACAGACUAAGACGCUGUCUCAAAAAAAAACAAAAACGACAAAAAAAAAACAAAACAGAAAAAAUAAACUAAGGCAAUGACAGUCCCUGGCAAAUGCUGGGAGGGAGGCAGCAGUGGUCAGGGAAGGUAACCCUGAAGCAGGACUUGUAAAGCAAAUAAGAUUGGGAGGCCAAGGUGGGUGGAUCACGAGGUCAGGAGUUCGAGACCAGCCUGGCCAACAUAGUGAAACCCCGUCUUUACUAAAAAUACAAAAAAAUUAGCCAGGUGUGGUGGUGGGUGCCUGUAGUCCCAGCUACUUGGGAGGCUGAGGCAGGAGAAUCUCGAACCCAGGAGGCGGAGGUUACAGUCAGCUGAGACCGCACCAUUGCACUCCAGCCUGGGUGACAGAGCAAGAUUCCGUCUCAAAAAAAAAAAAAAAAAAAAAACCAAGAAGAAAAGGAAUGAAUUAGAACUUCUUCUGCUUGGACUUAAGGGCAUCAUCAGGCAGGUUUUGGGUAGGAUAGCAGGGGAGGCAGAGACAUAGUCGGGGUCAGUGGUCAUGAGUGUGGCUUUGAGCCCAAAAACUUGGUUUCUGUUCCCUACUUUGCCACUCAGUAGUGCAUGACUUUGGCCAAAUUUCUUAAAUUCAUGAAGCAAGUUUCCGGGUGAAUGAAAUGGGGAUAAAAAUAGUGUUCAAACCUAUCCGUUGGUUUGUGUGAAACUGAAAUGAAUAGUAUCGUGCAGGUACUUGUGAGCAAGGGGAGCUGCUGUUUCCUGUCCCUUUAUGAUGGGAAAUAUCUAGACAAGUUCCCAACCCUCUGCACUGCAGGCUGCAUGGCACGGAGGGUCUUGUAACACCAGCUGGGGCUGGCCUUCUUUUAGGAGCUUCAGUGGUUCUGAAAACUUUUAUUUGUUUGUUUGUUUUAGUAGAUGUGGGGUCUUUCUGUGUUGCCCGGACUGGUCUCAAACUUCUGGACUCAAGUGAUCCUCCCCCGCUCAACCUCCCAAAGUGUUGGGAUUACAGGUGUGAGCCACUGUGCCCAGCCUUGAAAACUUUUUCAGGUUCUUCCAGGGUUACUGGGCUAUUAAAUAUUUCUAUUUCAUUAUAAGUCAGUUUUUCAAAGUUAUAUUAUCUUAAUUACCUUUUUUAUAUGUAUUAGUGUAGAGUAGCAUUUUAUAUUUUGAUAUCCUCCUUAUGCAUAGUUUUUCACUUUUUAUUCCUAGUUUUUCGUUUUUAAUAAGACUUUCAAGAAAUUUAUUUUAUUGGCCUUUUGAAAAAAGCAGCUUUAGAUAAAGUAAGCAGUUCUGCUUUCAUUUUAUAAUUUAUUUCUACUUUUGUUUCAUUAAUCUUUUCCUCCGGCAUGCCUUGGAUUUUGUUGUGUUACUCUUUUUCUAGAGGCUCGCAUUGUGUGUCUGGUUCACUUAUGAUCACGCUUGCCUACUUUUAAGAAUGGAAGAGGGGAGGUGGAGGGUGGCUGCACAGUCGAGGGUGUGAGGCAGUCUUGCUCUAGCCCCACCAUGCCCUCAGCCCGCUGUGGCCACGCUGGUUCCUCAAUUGCUGGGGCGUGCAGUGUCUGUAAGGGAGGCUACUGAUGCCAUCCGAGGAAGAUGUAAGGUUUCGUGUGGGCAGCGAGAGCCUAGCAGGCAUGUGGGGUGCCCAGCAAAGGGUAACAGUGGACAGUUGUUGCCUCAUUCCACAGAGUUUUGAUUUUUUUUUUUUUUUUAAUGGUCACUCCAUCAACAUCCCCCAUGGCCAGAGCCUGAGCUGGUCCCCAGAGACACAGGCAUUCAGCUGACAGCCUCGCCUUCACGCUGCUGCUGUUCUCAUGGGGGACAGGCCUCAGGUGGCAAUGCACAAAUCAUUAGUUAAGGGCAGUUGUGACAGUUACCAAGGAGUGUAGUCCCCCGCCCCCCGCCCAGUGAAAACAGCCCUAACCAGGGGUGGGGACCUUUGGGCUCUGACCCGAAGGGUAGGAGAAGCUGGAAGGACAGCAUUCCUGUCUGCGAAGGCAGGAGCAAAGCUGCCAGGCUAUGAAGGAAAUGGCUGGAGCCUGAAGUCAUGCAAGCUGGGGCUGGCAGGGACAGGGCCAACUUCCAGGCCUGGGGGCCACCAUGAGGAUUCAGGACGUGACCCCCAGGGCACAUGAAGGCCUUCCAUCUGUAUUUAAGAAAAGACUUUAUCAGACGAGUAUGGUGGCUCACGCCUGAAUCUUAGCACUUUGGGAGGCUGAGGCAGGUGGAUCACGAGGUCAGGAGUUCAAUACCAGCCUGGCCAAUAUGGUAAAACCCCAUCUCUACUAAAACUACAAAAAUUAGCCAGGCAUGGUGGCGCACGCCUGUAGUCCCAGCUACUCGGGAGGCUGAGGCAGAAGAAUCACUUGAACCCGGGAGGUGGAGGUUACAGUGAGCCAAGAUCGCGCCACUACACUCCAGCCUGGGUGACAGAGUGAGACUCCGUCUCAAAAAAACCAAAAGACUUUAUCUUAUUUCCUAUAUGUUUGUGGUUUCAGUCCUGAUGUAUAAUUUGACCCUAGUUAGAAUGGUUAUCUGAGGAAGUGGCCUGUACGAUUUCUGCUUUUUUAAAUGUGUGGCUCCCUUUCUUCAUUGAUUAACGUAUGAUUAUUUUUAUAAAUGUUCCAUGGCAGUGGGAAGGGAUUCUCUGUCACAUUCCACAUCUGGAUCAGUUCCUCCCCAUUUUGUUGGUCAAAUCCGAUCUGCCAUAUCCUGUGUAAUGACAAGUGAGUUGCAUUCUCACCGUCACUCCUGGGGUCUCUCCGCUUCCCCUGAGCUGGCUCAGCAGUCUGCUCCAUGUGUUUUGAUGCAGGGUGACCCAUUGGUAUUCCCGACACUAACGCCCCCGUCUGUGGACUGCUUGCUGCUUGGGCUUCACUGUGUCUGGUGUUGACAGUGCAGACCUAAAGGUGUGCACACAUGUGCACACACACUCCGCUGUCUUCUUGUUUGCACUGGACUUAAAUAUCUAUGAGGGUUAUUUUCAACUGCUGAAUUUGGAAUGAUUUUUAUAUCUUUUCUGCUUUCUGCCCAUGUACAUGUGUUUAUUUUACACUGUUGUGAUUGGUAGUUACUAUGUGGGGACACAAUUACUUGGGCUGAAAUAAUCCACCUGUUGUGGUUGGGGUCCUCUGGGGCAUUCCAGGGUGAGAGGUUGUCACUGCCACCUGGGCCAUGUGGGCCGGCACCAGCAUUUUGUGGUUACGAAUUCUACAGUCACAAAUAUCUUUGGGCAAAUCCCCUUCUAUACCUCAAGGCAGCUUUUGGUUUGCAACCCCACUGGCCAGAGGGAAGGGCCAGUCACUUGGCUCUCUCACUGCCCUGCGCCCCAGAUGGUUCUAGGGCUGCUGUUUUCCCUUGGCCCUGCCAACACCACUGUUUUUACUUCUGCUCAUUGGCUGAGUGCAGUGGUUCCUGGAAGCCAGUGGCACGUUUCCCCGCGUAGCUCGCUUAUCCCACAGCACACACCCAAGGGUUCUGUUGCUAACACGCUGAAUUAAUUCUUUGCUCAUCUUACAGAGUGUGUUUUGACUGCCCCCAUUUCUGAGGCCUUGUAAGGCCAGAGCUUUGUUGCUUCAUCGGCAGGUUGGGACUUAGAUGGCCGUGAAUGUUUCCUCUCUGCUGCUGCAGUAAGUAAGUGCCCGCACCAUAGUGUGUUUGGAGGCUGAAGUUGAAGCGAGGCUGUGAGGGGAGAUGGACGUGUGAGGAGGGAUGAUGGGGCUUGAGCAAAGUGGGGGAGGGGGCAAAGGCAGUUGGCCCAACACAUUCCCCACCCCUUUGAGAGGUCUGAGGCCUGCAGACCUGGCUCGGAGCCCACCUGGUAGUCCUCAGACUGUGUGUGUGUGUGUGUGUGUGUGUGUGUGUGUGUGUGUGUGUGUGUGUGUGUGUGUGUAAAAGAGAGAAGUUGUGGAGAAAUGGGGGGCUGAUUCUGCUCAGAUUCAUCAGGAUGAGUAGAAGGCACCCAGCUCUCACCCUGGCCUGACAUGUGUGUCCCUGAGCAGGUUACAGUCCUCUCUGAGCCUCUGCUUCCCAUCUGGACCCUGCUGGGCAGGGCUUCUGAGCUCCUUAGCACUAGCAGGAGGGGCUCCAGGGGCCCUCCCUCCAUGGCAGCCAGGACAGGACUCUCAAAUGAGGACAGCAGAGCUCGUGGGGGGCUCCCACGGACCCGCCGUGGGCCCAGGGGAGGCAGAGCCUGAGCCAACAGCAGUGGUGCUGUGGACCGUGGAUCCUGAGGGUGGCCUGGGGCAAGUACCGGCUGAGGGUCCAGGUGGGCUUUGUGUACCUUUGGGUCCUGGGGCCCUGGUGACUUGGACUCCAGGUUAGAGUCAAGUGACAGGAGAAAGGCUGGUGGGGCCCUGUGCUUCCGACUUCAUUUCGAGUGAUGGCAGUUCCCAGGAAGGAAUCCACAGCUGACGGUGGCUGACAGAUCAGAGAAUGGAAGGCGAGGCAGGCGGGCGUCUGCGUGACCUCAGGUGCUUGGGGCCCAGCAGACCCAGAGAACCAUUUCCACUAGGCCAGGGUGCCGGAAGUGUCCACAGGUCUUAGAUUCCCUGUUCAGAUGAAAAGAUUUGUGCCUUUAAUGAUAAAAGUGAUCUGCAUAGAGUCAAAAAUUCAAGCCAUGGGUAUAAAAUGCAAGUAAAAUCCCUGCCCUCACCUAUCCCACCCUACUACACAGAGAUGUCCUCUCGAGUUUCCUAGACUCACUCUGGAAAUUUCUGUAUACACACAGAAGCUUGUGCCUCUGCUCGUGAAGGCAGAGGGAGGGAGAGCUGAAGGGCCAGCACCUUCUCACCUGUGGGCCCCCUCAGUGCUCGGUCCCAGAGCAUGCAGGACUGUGCCUCGUGUUCAGUUUGCUGGUCUGACUUCAUGCUCCUUGGGCAGGAUAUGCAUGUGCCAUGCUAGGAGACAUGUGGAUGUGAAGCUGGGGGACAAUGUCCCCUGGCUAUGCCUUUACAAGGGAAGUAAGGAAGGUAGGAGGUGAGCCUGGGAGGGAGGGAGGGAGGCGCGGAGCCGCCGCAGGUGUUUCUUUUACUGAGUGCAGCCCAUGGCCGCACUCAGGUUUUGCUUUUCACCUUCCCAUCUGUGAAAGAGUGAGCAGGAAAAAGCAAAA